This is a long non-coding RNA of Syzygium oleosum, 697 nucleotides long. RefSeq lists it as uncharacterized. The transcript is spliced from 2 exons. The record is from RefSeq and is a predicted model, not a curated record. Lineage: Eukaryota; Viridiplantae; Streptophyta; Magnoliopsida; Myrtales; Myrtaceae.
GGCCGUGUCGCAAAAUCUGCGUGCCGCCCAUAAGUACCAUUUGUCCGCCACCGAUCACUGACGUUUCGCGAGCGGCACGAGUCUGGGUGGCUUUGUCGUUCCCUUUUCCACCGUGAGCUCUUUCUUCCUUUGAAGCGAGCAUCCAAUUGAUGGGAAGAAAAAGGGAAAAGGACAUGGAAAUUCCAUCACCCAUCAAUCCGUAUGACAAAAUUGAAAAUGGGUUGUUGAUCACGUAAGCUACCGCAAUAUCUGAAACCCUCACAACACGGCAUGGGUUAAAUGUGUGGCGAAGAAACGUUCGCUUCCAGCCAUGUCGACGUGGAGGAGGACGACGAAAUGGGAAAAGGAUGAUGAGAGAUUGCUUGUUCGAUACAACGUCCUAAAAGUCAAAAGUGUUGUUUCUGGGAUGGAGCCGAUCUUGUCGAUUGUGCUCGGAGUUGAAGUCUUUCUUCUUCUUUGUGGAUCGUCCACUGGAAUUGCACUAUCUUGAAACCAUGGAUCGGAAACCCAUGACCAUGAUUCUCUCCACAAGUGCAUGUAUUGACCGGUUGGUUCGCUUCCUGUGAGUAAUGAUGGUCUCAACCACCCAACUUCUUUUCCCCCUUAAUGUAAGAAUCACAUGAAUAAGUUGACACCCUCAAAUUACCUCUGUAAAAGUGAAUCACUUUGGCAGAUGAUGACAACCGAAACUACUGAA